RNAcentral lists this ribosomal RNA (428 nucleotides) under uncultured bacterium. RNAcentral's name for it is "bacterial SSU rRNA". It matches the Rfam family "Bacterial small subunit ribosomal RNA", at positions 355 to 775 of the family's 1533-position model. The record is from RNAcentral.
UGGGGAAUAUUGGACAAUGGGCGCAAGCCUGAUCCAGCAACGCCGCGUGGAGGACGAAGGUCUUCGGAUCGUAAACUCCUGUCAGGUGGGACGAAGGCUCGUCGGUAAAUAGCUGACGAGUUUGACGGUACCACCAGAGGAAGCCCCGGCUAACUCCGUGCCAGCAGCCGCGGUAAUACGGAGGGGGCGAGCGUUAUUCGGAAUUAUUGGGCGUAAAGGGCGCGUAGGCGGCCUUGUAAGUCAAAGGUGAAAUCCCUCGGCUCAACUGAGGAACUGCCUUUGAAACUGCAAGGCUUGAGGCCGGGAGGGGGUAGCGGAAUUCCCAAUGUAGCGGUGAAAUGCGUAGAUAUUGGGAGGAACACCAGUGGCGAAGGCGGCUACCUGGACCGGUUCUGACGCUGAGGCGCGAAAGCGUGGGUAGCAAACAG